GGCAAAACAAAGCCCUCCGCCAAUCAGACCGUUUUUAAGAGGAGCUUCUCCACCUUGAUUGUGCGUUAGAACCACCUGAGACCUUCAGAACUACUGAUGCUUGGGGCCCAAAUUUUAUCAUUAUGUGAGACUCUCUGGAAAGGGACCCUUAUCAGGAUAGUUAAACCCUCUCCAGGUUGUUCUAAUCUGCAGCCUGGGCAUGACUCAGUUUACUAAAGUCUCCACCUCACUGGAGCACAAUGAGGUGGGAAUGGACCAAGGAGGCCCCUUCACCCGGGUGCAGCUCAUGGCAAAGUGCACGCUGUUCCUCUAAGGCUGCAGAUGUCAACCCAGACGACACGGUAGAACCACCAAGGGAGCUUUUCACAAAUACUACUGCCUGGAACCCAGCCCCAAAUCAUCAAGUCUGAAUCACUGGGGUUGGCCUUUGAAAUGACUUCCAGAUGAAUCUGUGUAGAAUCAGGGCUGGCAAGCUAUUUCACCACUGAAUUCACUCGCAGACAGGAUUCACGAUACUCUGAGUUUUUGGACUAGUGGGAGAGCUAUGCUUAACCUGGAAGUUAUAUUGAAUUGUACGAGUGUUUGUCAAGGUUGAAGACAGAAUAACAGGGAAACAACUCUGAGGGGGGUCACUGUCUGGGAAGGCGUCUAUGUACCAAGUGACUACCCGAGACCUGCAUGAGGAGUAUGAGCCUGCUUGAUGAAUGGCAUUAGUGGAGGAUGGAAGAGGAGCAAUCACAUCCAAGACCUUUAAUAGUGGCUAGAGCUCCCAUGGGCUUCAGAGACUGCCAGAAGCGGAGAGGAGCAAACACGUUUCUACACUCCGAGACCUCCUGACUCUCCUGAGCUCCAGCAAGGCAGACCAAGAGCCAGCUGUCUGCAGAUCCUGGAUUAGGCCCUGCGGCUGCGGAGAAAACUCAGGGAUAAAAAUGAGGAUAAACUGGGAGGGAACCUGCUUCUUGUGUGUCUGUGGGAGGAUAGGUUUCAAAACCACUGAUGUUUGUUUCUGAAGCUAAAAAUGGAAACAACUUCAAAAUUGUUGAGAUAUAAAGAAAAUAACAUCUGCAUUGAAGCCUGCGCCCCACUUUCACCUCCUUCAGUGGAAUCCACUCACUUUUGCUUACACAGCAGUAUACUUAUAUUGUCAUUUUGUUCCCCUAAGUGCUUAACUCAGUCCUGGGCAGAGAGUAAGCACUGAAUACAUAUUUGCUGAUGUCCAAGGCAAUUAAAUUUUAA
This 1236-nucleotide long non-coding RNA is filed under the name Equus caballus (horse). RNAcentral describes it as "lncRNA (ENSECAG00000052623.1)". The record is from RNAcentral. Lineage: Eukaryota; Metazoa; Chordata; Mammalia; Perissodactyla; Equidae.